AGCAGUGUGGUGUAAUGCGCACACGGGGUCUUCUUAGGGCUAAGUUGAAUUCUAACCCCGAGGUCCUUGUUCGAGCCAAGGCGCUGCUG
Molecule: non-coding RNA, 89 nt
Organism: Mycena epipterygia
Lineage: Eukaryota; Fungi; Basidiomycota; Agaricomycetes; Agaricales; Mycenaceae
Source: the annotation of a GenBank genome assembly